AUCGCUUCUCGGCCUUUUAUGGCUAAGAUCAAGUGUAGUAUCUGUUCUUAUCAGUUUGAUAUCUGAUAUAUCCUCUAUCUGAGGAUUAUAUAUUAAAUGGAUUUUUGGAAUAGGGAGAUGGAAUAGGAGCUUGCUUCAUUCACUCCAUGCAUCAACCUGGUAUUGCAGUAUCUCUAGGAAUGGUGCAUCUCCC
Molecule: small nuclear RNA, 193 nt
Filed under: Pelusios castaneus (West African mud turtle)
Lineage: Eukaryota; Metazoa; Chordata; Testudines; Pelomedusidae
Description: U2 spliceosomal RNA (ENSPCEG00000019894.1)
Rfam family: U2 spliceosomal RNA
About the family: U2 is a small nuclear RNA (snRNA) component of the spliceosome (involved in pre-mRNA splicing). Complementary binding between U2 snRNA (in an area lying towards the 5' end but 3' to hairpin I) and the branchpoint sequence (BPS) of the intron results the bulging out of an unpaired adenosine, on the BPS, which initiates a nucleophilic attack at the intronic 5' splice site, thus starting the first of two transesterification reactions that mediate splicing.
Source: Rfam by way of RNAcentral